CCUACGGGUGGCAGCAGUGGGGAAUAUUGCGCAAUGGGCGAAAGCCUGACGCAGCGACGCCGCGUGAGGGAUGAAGGUCUUCGGCUCGUAAACCUCUGUCAGCAGGGAAGAACGGUCACUGUGCUAAUCAUCAGUGAAUUGACGGUACCUGCAAAGGAAGCACCGGCUAACUCCGUGCCAGCAGCCGCGGUCAUACGUAGGGUGCGAGCGUUAAGUGGAAUUACUGGGCGUAAAGCGCUCGUAGGCGGUAUGUCAAGUCAAGGGUGAAAUCCCCGCGCUCAACGUGGGAACUGCCUUUGAAACUGGCAAACUGGAGUGUGUGAGAGGAUAGUGGAAUUCCAGGUGUAGGAGUGAAAGCCGUAGAUAUCUGGAGGAACAUCAGUGGCGAAGGCGACUAUCUGGCACAUAACUGACGCUGAGGAGCGAAAGCGUGGGUAGCAAACAGGAUUAGAUACCCCGGUAGUC
This 465-nucleotide ribosomal RNA is filed under the name uncultured bacterium. Its description in RNAcentral is "partial 16S ribosomal RNA". It matches the Rfam family "Bacterial small subunit ribosomal RNA", at positions 338 to 795 of the family's 1533-position model. The record is from RNAcentral.